This 253-nucleotide ribosomal RNA is filed under the name uncultured bacterium. Its description in RNAcentral is "partial 16S ribosomal RNA". It matches the Rfam family "Bacterial small subunit ribosomal RNA", at positions 524 to 776 of the family's 1533-position model. The record is from RNAcentral.
UACGUAGGUGGCAAGCGUUGUCCGGAUUUACUGGGCGUAAAGAGCGCGCAGGCGGUCGUCCAAGUCGCGUGUGAAAGCCCCCGGCUCAACUGGGGAGGGUCACGCGAUACUGGUCGACUCGAAGGCAGGAGAGGGUAGUGGAAUUCCCGGUGUAGUGGUGAAAUGCGUAGAUAUCGGGAGGAACACCAGUGGCGAAGGCGACUGCCUGGCCUGUUCUUGACGCUGAGGCGCGAAAGCUAGGGGAGCAAACGGG